This 229-nucleotide ribosomal RNA is filed under the name uncultured bacterium. Its description in RNAcentral is "partial 16S ribosomal RNA". It matches the Rfam family "Bacterial small subunit ribosomal RNA", at positions 568 to 796 of the family's 1533-position model. The record is from RNAcentral.
UCCGUAGGCGGGCAAUUAAGUCAGAGGUGAAAUCCCACAGCUCAACUGUGGAGCUGCCUUUGAUACUGGUUGUCUUGAGUUAUAGUGAAGUAGAUAGAAUAUGUAGUGUAGCGGUGAAAUGCAUAGAUAUUACAUAGAAUACCGAUUGCGAAGGCAGUCUACUAACUGUAUACUGACGCUAAUGGACGAAAGCGUGGGGAGCGAACAGGAUUAGAUACCCUGGUAGUCC